This 1792-nucleotide long non-coding RNA is filed under the name Orbicella faveolata. RNAcentral describes it as "uncharacterized LOC110043292". The record is from RNAcentral. Lineage: Eukaryota; Metazoa; Cnidaria; Anthozoa; Scleractinia; Merulinidae.
ACCCUGUGGGUAAAAUGUUUGUGGUUAGGACCUUUGAAUUAUAAAAAUUCACUAACCAAUGAAACAAUAUACUAGAAAGACUAAAGUACAUGCACGCCAACAACGUUGCCGACAGAAUCAUGAUAGUAGUGAAUUGUCCAAGAUCAGUUUCUCGCUUAUGACAACUCAGACUGGACGGGUUUUGCGGGAAACUCGUUCAAAUUUACCUGCAUCUUCGCAUUCGUCUGCGUCGACGAAUUCUGGUCCCUGCUAGACCAGAAACAUGUCGAAAUUUACACUAAGACCAGGGCUCCAGACAAAAGCGAAGCACUUUGUUAUUGCAACUUGGCGCCUCUAACCCGUCCUUAUUUAAAUUUUUAGAGCAAGUUUAAAUGAGUAUUUUGCAUCACGAAUUUCCAAUAGGACGCAAAACUCAUCGGACAGGUUACCGUUCUUGUCCCGUAAUGUGAAUACAACUAGUGUUGUGCAGCCGGCCUUUUUGUACAUAGCUAUCUUUUGGACGGUCGCGAUGGGGUUAACCCUUUAAACGGGCAAAAAAUUCAGUCGUAGGCUAAACACUGUUUUUUUUUUUUUUGCAAUUUAAAGCAGCAAAGGCCAUACAGCACGUUUGUUAUUUCUUCACAGGCAUAUAAAUCUAUUACUAUAGUAGUAAGAUAUCAGUCAAUAAUUUGGCAUCCUAGGCCGCCUUAAACACGUUUUACAGUAAUCAAAAUAAAUUUUCAACUUUUUAAAACAAUAAAAAAAAUGUUGACUUUGUAAAAUAGUGGUUGUUAAUUUUUAAGAAUUCUGUUAACUGUAAGGAAGGUAAAUUAAGCGUCAGCCGUUAAAAUGCCAAAUUAUUCACCGUUUGCUGUAAAAGGCACCACCCCAUUGAGAACCUCCUUGUGUUUUGACUGGGAAAAAAAAAACAGGAAGAUUUAAGCAAUAAAAAAACAAAACUGUUUCACGAUAUUAAAAUUGUUCUCGUCUCUCUAAUUGCUCUCGUUUUUCUCAAAGAUAUCAGGCAGAUGUUUUUGGGCUACUAUUAGUAAAAAACUCGUCUUCUUGGUGUCAUGUUGUUUUUUAACCGAUAUCUAGUAGAGGAAACUCGUACAACUGAGCCCAGCCUCUAGACGUAUAUUACAGGUGGUCUUUUUUUAAUCCAUAUCUGAGAACCAAAUUUGGUAUUGUUUUUCAAAACCUGUCGGCAUAUUUUGAUAUUGAGCGCCAAUAGGUGAACAAGCACAACAAUGGGGCACAUGUCGGCUUAUUCAUAUUCUGGCAUACAAGUGCGUAUAUCUUCUCCUUCUGGUGUUCAUACAUUUCUUUUGUUAUCAGUUAGAGGAAUUUCCUUAUACAUCAAUUCCCUUAAUGAUCAGUUUGUUACAAUAACUACAUAAGUUAUUUGACUUAAUUUGUUUUCAAAGCUGACGUUAUAAAACAGUUCCUUAAGAAGCGGCUUGCACUUUUACAAAGCGUCAAACUGACUCGUUCAGCUUACUGAAGGUGACCAAGAUGGACAAAGUAAUGGCCAUUGCUUUUCUUUUCCUCUUUAGCGUCGUUUUUCUUAUGAUAGAAGAAAGUUCUGGAGUGGCUCCUAGCUGUUUCGGCGAGAGCCCAUUGCCUGCCUGUAACAAAGGAAAGGUAAACGGGUUUAAGAGAGGAAUCUGCCGCGCUGCUCGACGAUUGAACUGCGAACAACUUCUGCAAGACGAGAACACGAACCCAAGAGAUGAGCAAACCGCUCCACGAUACUAACUUCUAAGCAUCAUGUAACCUCAAGGAGCCUCAAAUAAAAUGUAAACUCGUGUGA